Molecule: non-coding RNA, 23 nt
Filed under: Arabidopsis thaliana (thale cress)
Lineage: Eukaryota; Viridiplantae; Streptophyta; Magnoliopsida; Brassicales; Brassicaceae
Source: RNAcentral
CAUGAACUAAACGUUGACUACCA